Vicia faba (fava bean) is the source of this 204-nucleotide non-coding RNA. Lineage: Eukaryota; Viridiplantae; Streptophyta; Magnoliopsida; Fabales; Fabaceae. The record is from the annotation of a GenBank genome assembly.
AUGGUUAUUGAUGUGGAAGAAACGAGUGAGAAGAAUGGGGUAAGAAGGCUUGAGGGUGCUGGGCAACGAGGGUUGGUGCAUGAAAUUGAAGAAGAGGAUGGGCGACUAACUGAAAGGCUUAUGAGAGUUACUGACGAUGAUGGGGAUGGCAUCAUAGAGGGUACCCUGAGGAAGGAGGAGUUUCGCAAGUUUGUUGUUAGGUGA